This 1937-nucleotide long non-coding RNA is filed under the name Malus domestica (apple). RNAcentral describes it as "long non-coding RNA (MDOM_LNC019327)". The record is from RNAcentral. Lineage: Eukaryota; Viridiplantae; Streptophyta; Magnoliopsida; Rosales; Rosaceae.
ACUUUGGCAUCGGAGGUUCUUCGGCCAAAGCCCCCCCCAUUCAUCGUGGGUGCGUGAGGCUUUUGGCCUUAACCUAAGGUGCUAGUUGUUUUGUAGGUGCAAAAUUGUCCAAGAUCGAAGAGGAGAAAAUUUGCAUCCACAAUUAGGACAAAAUAAGGUAACUUGGUUAACAUUCCUUCUUUCUUGCUGAGCUUCCUUGUCUUCCUUAUUUUGAAUUUAUUUCCUUCAUCUCUUCAGCACAUUCCUAACCUCUUUUGAACUUCAAAUUCAUCCAUCCACCUUGCUCCAAGCAUGUGUUAUCCAUUCCAUGCCCAAAACUGCUCCAAAAUGCUCCAAAUUGCACUUUUUUGCUUCUUUAGCCCUUUGGACCUACAAACACACGAAAAUAGCUUAAAAUAGUAAAAUAACUAGGAACUAACAAUAAAUGCAAGAAAACAAGCUAACUAAGUCGCAUAAAUAUGCUCCUAUCAAAUUCCCCCACGCUUAGCUUUUGCUAGUCCUUGAGCAAAAUAAAACAAACAAAACAUAAGCUAAACCUUCCAACAUUCACCUCAGGGAUUUCCAAUGAAACAUGACACAUUAAAAGUCACUACUCACAUAGAUUUUAGCCAUCCUUACCCUCGAGCACACACUUAAUCAUAGUCACCAUUCACUAGCUCACAUUUAAUCAAUUAAAACAACAUUUUGAAUGGAUUAACAUGCCUUGGAGAAUUCCCUCAAUUCCUCACCGGAUAUGCUCUCUAUUUUCACACAAAUUUUCUGACUACACUCCCUACACUAAGUAUAUGUGAGAAGAUUGAUGUAAACAUGUAGACUAGUACUCACAUAUGUUUUAAACAAGGAAGACAAUUUCUAGAGUUAUUAAUAUAUGUAUAUAUAUAUGAUCUCAUGAACGAAAUGCUACUACUUAGAAGCGAGAACCAGAGAUUCCAUAUGCUCAUACCAAUUUGAAACUCCACAGAUUGAAACACACAACCAUCAAGAUUGAAGUCUAAGGGUUGUAACACAAGGGAAAGAUUCACAAAACACUUAGGGGCGAAUUCAAACUGUUGGACCAUUUCUUCAACAACCAAUACUUGUGAGUUCAUUCUCACUUAUUUUGAACUCUUUUCCUUUCUUUUUCUUUUCUUUUUCACCUUUUUUUUUUGUUUUUUUUUUUUUGGAAAUAACCUUCCCCCACACUUGUUUUCUACAAUAAUGUUGCUCAAAAGGAAUUCCCUCUAAGUCAUGCUCCACUAUACUUUAAGAACAAAGGUAUGGAUAGUCCUAUUCUAGGCUAGGUAGGGAUAAUGCGGGCUAACAAAGAAAAUAGGCUAAACAAGGCUCAAAGAGCUUAAACCUACAAAACAUAUGCAAGGGAUUAAGGCUUUUUGGCUCUGGUGGUAACUACUAAACAACUUCAUCUUGUUAUAUGUUAUGCACUCAAUUGUAAGCUUUGAAUGAAACGGGCAUGAGUUCUAGUAUUUGGAACUAAAAUGAUGAAAAAGCAUUCUAAGUAGCAACCAAGCAAACAAAACAAUGAGAUCAUGCAACGACUUUAGAAAACAAGAAAUCACAGAUUAAUAACUCUCCAAACAAAGUUUAGGCUCAGGUUUCUCAGGGUUGUAGCAUUUGUUUGAGUUCCUUCCUUCAAGCAUGUUACAAAAACUGAUUUUUUUUCUUUGUGAUUACAUGUGAAUUCGUUAAUGACAACUACAACCAAGUAUUAACCAAAGAGCAUAUCAAACUUCCACCCAUGUUUGUAACUUUCUUUAACAGUCAUGCAAUUAAAAACCAAAUCCUCAUCAUUGUGUUGUGAUGCGAAAUAGAUAAGCACACAAAUUAAACCCUCUUUUGUCAAAUUGUAGUAGAGAUGUAAGUAGGGAUCGUUCUAGACCGGGGAUUAGGAGGGAUUGCUAAACACUUGGAAAUUGACUUAAAAACUCAAAAACAAAGUU